GAAGUAAGAGUGAAAAAAGACAGUGCUGCUAAAGGGUGUUGCAGUUUCAACUUUCCGUCUAGGAUAGACUCCAUCUCCACGUAAUAUUUCUGAACAGAGAAAGCUGGUAUAUUGUCACAAACUGAUUUAAUUCAUAUUUUGAAGCAACAUUACACUACAAAUACUCUUCACCUCCUUCAGACACACUUUGGUUUAUGGUCUGGGACUUAAACUGUCCCUUCUGUUGUAGCACACCCGUGUAAAGUACUGCCUUUGAUACCUUUAUGACAGUCACAGCAAAGUGGCACAAAAAAAAAAAAAAAAGGGCAAGGAUCAGAGAAAGUCCUCGUGUUUAGGCAAAAAAAAAAAAAAAAAAAAAAAAAAAAAAAAAAGAGAAGAAGAAAAGAUAAUGUUCCUUCAAAAAAUGUUCCUUGAUCAAAAGUUAAAGUUUUAUGCAGAUUGUUAUGAGGCCUGACGCUUGAAUUACCCAAGAUUUCUCGCUGUAACUUGUACUUUUUAUUUAUUUGCAGCAGUAUUUUAACUGAACUAUUUUUAAGUGUGCUAAGCCUCUCCAGAGCACAGUCCCUGCAGAGACUUACUGCUCCUUGGUGGUUACGGACCUGCAAUAACACACAGGGCACAGCAAUAUAUCUACAUGGUGAAGAUACUGCACGCUUGUACUGCAGGAAGAUUGUGCUUUGGCCAGAUGGGGACUUGCUGAAUUAACUGAAGGUAUCAGCAAGGGAACUGAAGUAUCUAAAAGAUGAAUAUGUGUACAUAUUUUACAGAAGGGACCAUGCAGCACAAACCACUGCUACACCUCAGCAGACAGUCUGUCAGGGGGGUAAAGGUAAAACAGGGAGUUGUCUAUGCCAUAGUCCAACAUGGCUGAUAAACACUCCAAACUUAAAACUGUCUCAUGGAAGAAAGUUUGUGCAGACAUGAAAAGUUGCCUUUCUAUUUUUAAAUAGCCCAUAUUGCCACGUAUUGGGCUCCACGUUUUGAGAAUUUGAGUUUUGAAAAUUUUC
This 1007-nucleotide long non-coding RNA is filed under the name Phasianus colchicus (ring-necked pheasant). Its description in RNAcentral is "lncRNA (ENSPCLG00000016369.1)". Lineage: Eukaryota; Metazoa; Chordata; Aves; Galliformes; Phasianidae. The record is from RNAcentral.